GACGAACGCUGGCGGCGUGCUUAACACAUGCAAGUCGAGCGGUAAGGCCCUUCGGGGUAACGAGCGGCGAACGGGUGAGUAACACGUGGGUGAUCUGCCUUGCACUCUGGGAUAAGCCUGGGAAACUGGGUCUAAUACCGGAUAUGACCACUUCUCGCAUGGGUUGUGGUGGAAAGAUUUAUCGGUGCAAGAUGAGCCCGCGGCCUAUCAGCUUGUUGGUGGGGUAAUGGCCUACCAAGGCGACGACGGGUAGCCGGCCUGAGAGGGCGACCGGCCACACUGGGACUGAGACACGGCCCAGACUCCUACGGGAGGCAGCAGUGGGGAAUAUUGCACAAUGGGCGAAAGCCUGAUGCAGCGACGCCGCGUGAGGGAUGACGGCCUUCGGGUUGUAAACCUCUUUCGACUCCGACGAAGCGAAAGUGACGGUAGGAGUAUAAGAAGCACCGGCCAACUACGUUGCCAGCAGCCGCGGUAAUACGUAGGGUGCGAGCGUUGUCCGGAAUUACUGGGCGUAAAGAGCUUGUAGGCGGCUUGUCGCGUCGAUCGUGAAAACUCGGGGCUCAACCCCGAGCUUGCGGUCGAUACGGGCAGGCUUGAGUACUUCAGGGGAGACUGGAAUUCCUGGUGUAGCGGUGAAAUGCGCAGAUAUCAGGAGGAACACGGUGGCGAAGGCGGGUCUCUGGGAAGUAACUGACGCUGAGAAGCGAAAGCGUGGGUAGCGAACAGGAUUAGAUACCCUGGUAGUCCACGCCGUACACGGUGGGUACUAGGGUGUGGGUUUCCUUCCACGGGAUCCGUGCCGUAGCUAACGCAUUAAGUACCCCGCCUGGGGAGUACGGCCGCAAGGCUAAAACUCAAGGAAUUGACGGGGGCCCGCACAAGCGGCGGAGCAUGUGAUUAGUUCGAUGCACGCGAGACCUUACCUGGGUUUGACAUACACCGGAAACUUGCAGAGAUGUAGGCCCCCUUGUGGUCGGUGUACAGGUGGUGCAUGGCUGUCGUCAGCUCGUGUCGUGAGAUGUUGGGUUAAGUCCCGCAACGAGCGCAACCCUUAUCUUAUGUUGCCAGCGCGUAAUGGCGGGGACUCGUGAGAGACUGCCGGGGUCAACUCGGAGGAAGGUGGGGACGACGU
Molecule: ribosomal RNA, 1135 nt
Filed under: Nocardia flavorosea
Lineage: Bacteria; Bacillati; Actinomycetota; Actinomycetes; Mycobacteriales; Nocardiaceae
Description: bacterial SSU rRNA
Rfam family: Bacterial small subunit ribosomal RNA
Source: RNAcentral